UACGAAGGGAGCUAGCGUUGUUCGGAAUCACUGGGCGUAAAGCGCACGUAGGCGGAUGUGUCAGUCAGGAGUGAAAUCCCGGAGCUCAACUUCGGAACUGCCUUUGAUACAGCACGUCUUGAGUCCGAUAGAGGUGGGUGGAAUUCCUAGUGUAGAGGUGAAAUUCGUAGAUAUUAGGAAGAACACCGGUGGCGAAGGCGGCCCACUGGAUCGGUACUGACGCUGAGGUGCGAAAGCGUGGGGAGCAAACAGG
RNAcentral lists this ribosomal RNA (253 nucleotides) under uncultured bacterium. RNAcentral's name for it is "partial 16S ribosomal RNA". It matches the Rfam family "Bacterial small subunit ribosomal RNA", at positions 524 to 776 of the family's 1533-position model. The record is from RNAcentral.